Molecule: long non-coding RNA, 1458 nt
Filed under: Homo sapiens (human)
Lineage: Eukaryota; Metazoa; Chordata; Mammalia; Primates; Hominidae
Description: non-protein coding lnc-DAZL-2:1
Source: RNAcentral
ACAGGCUGAAAGAAUUGUUGACAAAAGGAAAAAUAAGAAGGGAAGACAGAGUAUUUGGUUUGAUGGAAGGGCUAUGACAGUGAGGAUCACACUUGGAAACCAGAGUGCCAUCUCGUGAAACAUGAGGAAUGCAGACACCACGUCAAAAAGCAGAAAGAGAGCACACUGACCAGAACAAAUAGCACUCUCCAAACAAUGCUAGGAAAUAAAUCUCCAGAUCCACCAACAGAAGCUUUGAUAAGACCUCUCCUAAGUCACUAGAGAUUGGCAAACACUAUGAGUCUAAAAACAGCCAGUUGUUUGCUGCUACCCAGAAGUUCAGGAAAAACACAGCUCCAUCUCUCUCUAGCUGGAAGAAUAUUGACCUAGCAAAGUCAAGUAUCAAGAUAUUUGUGUUUAUGAGCCCCAUUAAGAGCAGGACCACAGAGAAUGGCUUUCAGAACAAGAGCCCCCAGAAACUGGACCCUGUUGAGCAGGGUCAGGAGAAUAUGGUGGUGACUGAAUAGCCAGUUGGAGCUAUAGAAUAGCGGCUGGAGAAUAGUAAGUUGGAGCUUUAUUGGACCCCUGUGCAUAGAGCAGGUCAGGAUGGGAAACAGGCCCUGAAUACACCCACUAGUGCCUCAGGUGUCUGGCCCCAUGACUACAGCCAUGACCAGGGCCCUAGUUGUUAAUGGGAAAGGUACGAGGCAGAGGUUGCAGUGAGCUGAGAUGGCACCACAGUAUUCCAGCCUGGGCAACAGAGUGAGACUCUGUCUCAAAAAAAAAAAAAAAAAAAAAAAAGAGAAAUCCAAAGUGCUUUGAGCACAGCCGCUGCUGAAAACAGCAAGCUUAUGCUACUCAGUGCCAUUGGCAGUGCCUUCUGUUGUGCACUUGACUUUAUUUAUUUUAUAUAGCAUUCAACAAAUGACAGCAAAAGAGAAAGCACUAGAACAGCAGAAGCUACCAGAAACUUUGUGAAUACUUUCAUACAGUUUCAGAAAUCUAUUAUUGUAGUAGUCAAUGGCCCAGCCAUUAGGCUAAGCGCAUCUAUAUUGCCUCUUUGCAAUGUGGUCUGUACUAAUGAAAAGGCUUGGUUUCCACCGCUCUUUACUAUCUUUGGACAGAAUCCAGAUGGCUGUUCUACCAUUGUUUCCUAAAGUAAUGGAAGGGGCAUUUGCAAAUGAGAUAUUGCUCAGUGGGCAGAAGAUGACCACACAGGAAGCCUGUGGUAAAGGUCUGGUAGCCCAGGUAUUUUGGCCCGGGACCUUCACCCAGGAAGUUAUGAUUUGAAUUACGGAGUUUGCCUCAUGUAAUCCAGUUGUGCUUGAGGAAUCCGAAGCCCUUGUGUGCCGCAACAUGAAGAUGGAGUUGGAGCAGGCCAAUGAGAGGGAGUGCAAAGUGCUGAAGAAAAUCUGGGGCUUGGCCAAACUGAUGGACUCCAUGUUAAAGUGCUUGCAGAGGAAAAUUGAUGAGUUGUGA